This 25-nucleotide transfer RNA is filed under the name Ambystoma unisexual lineage JM-2019. Its description in RNAcentral is "partial tRNA-Phe". Lineage: Eukaryota; Metazoa; Chordata; Amphibia; Caudata; Ambystomatidae. The record is from RNAcentral.
GUUAAUGUAGCUUAAAUAAAAGUGU